Molecule: small nucleolar RNA, 132 nt
Organism: Mastomys coucha (southern multimammate mouse)
Lineage: Eukaryota; Metazoa; Chordata; Mammalia; Rodentia; Muridae
Product: small nucleolar RNA SNORA17
Exons: 1
Source: RefSeq, a predicted model, not a curated record
CCUACCCCUAGACGCAUUGCAGGUGUGGCUGCUGUGUCCCAUGUGUGUCCAUAGGUGGCAGAGAGGAGAGAGGCUAUGUCUAUGCUCAGUGUUCUGACCUAAAGACAUCUGAAUGAUUAGCAGCCUAACACU